AUGGACGCGCCUUCCCGUGAGCCUGGUGUCCGCGGACGCGGAGGAAGCGUUCCUGCCACACACAGCAAGAGCCACCGUGUCGGCGGGGCCGAGGGCGCCGGGGCGGCUGCCGGGGGUCGCGCGGGGGGGGGGGGGGGGGGAGGCGUUCGGGCGCCUCGUCAUCCGGGAGAAGCUUACGCGACGGCAGGACGCGCUCAGCGGGGCUCCGGGAGGCAGCACGUACCGAGGGGACGCCGGGCCUCCGGGUCCUCCGGGUCCUCAGGGUCGGUGCGCGUCCAGCCGCGGCGACGGGCCUCGGGGGAGCCGCCGGGAGCUCUGCAGGGCGGGAGCAGGAGACCAAGGCUCGGAAGGCCGCGCCCCGCCCUGCCCCCUCCCGUGGGGGCCUCCGCGGGCCGAGGCGCGCUUCUCCGUGGUUCCAGCGGCGGCGUCGGGAAAGGCCCUUCCUGCCCCCGCCCCGUCCUCCACCUCGGUCGCUGCCGCCCGACCCCAGCACGUGCAGCUCCUACACGCCGGCCCGCAGGCGCCGCACACACCAAGCCCUGGAGGCCCGGGCCGAGGGCCCCGCCGCCACCCUGCACCCCCCGCAGCCCCGGUCCCCACCCACACACCCGCACACCCGCUCCCGGGGACCCGCAGGGCGACGGGGAGCUCGCGCUCACCUGGCUGGGCCCCGGCGGUUCGUCCUCGGCGAGCGAGCCCUCGGUGCGCGACAGACUGCGGGUGGACGCGGAGUCCCCGGAAGUGCUGGUGACCAGCUCGCCCAGGGCGUCCACCUGCCGCCGCAGGCUGUGCAGGGUCCCCUCCGUGCGCCGCCGGCCCUCGCUCAGCACCUCGGCCUGCUUGGACAUGCAGCGGCGCAGCUGGGCCUGGAGGCGGGACGGCGUGAGGCGGGCGGUUCCGCUCCCCUCGGGGCUCCCCGGGCGCUGUGCGUCCCCUGCGCCUCCAAGGGACACCCAGGGGCGGCCCCAGAGCCGGCCUCCCAGGCCCCCGGAGCCAACCCCGAUGACCAACUUCCAUCUGAGGAGCCCUCGGCCUCACGCGAGCACGUCGCUGCCCCCCCCCCACCCCCGCAUGUCACCUACAGCCUUAACCCCAGAUCUGAGGCUGCCCACAGGGGAGCGGGCCCGCGGGCCUCACGGGCUCCCGGACGCCACGUGUUCGGGGCCCAGCGGCCUCCCGGCGACGCCCGAGCCGCCCUCUAGGUCCGCAGCCUCUCGACCAUCCGGCCCUCCCAUACCACGGUGGCGCUUUCCUGUCCCAAGGCCUCAGGUGUGA
This 1275-nucleotide long non-coding RNA is filed under the name Canis lupus dingo (dingo). RNAcentral describes it as "lncRNA (ENSCAFG00020009282.1)". The record is from RNAcentral. Lineage: Eukaryota; Metazoa; Chordata; Mammalia; Carnivora; Canidae.